Mercenaria mercenaria is the source of this 4837-nucleotide long non-coding RNA. RefSeq lists it as uncharacterized. NCBI's taxonomy places the organism in Eukaryota, Metazoa, Mollusca, Bivalvia, Venerida, Veneridae. The record is from RefSeq and is a predicted model, not a curated record. The transcript is spliced from 2 exons.
UGAUGCUACAAACAACAAAACUUUAGUGCAGUGUUGCAUUUUCCAUUACUGCAAUAAAACCGAGUCUGCAAUUUUCACUGUUUGCUUUGUUCUCGGUGCUUCCGAGGGAUCUACUUUCCAGAUUUUAUUUAAUACCUUUACUUUAGUUAAAAGUUUGAGAUUUUACACAGGGAGUCUAUAAUAAAGUCCGAGUAAAAUGUAAUCAAUACCCAAGUGAAAUAAGUAUCAUUCCACAAUGUUUUGGACAUGUUAAAAUUAUGAAUACCCGCCUACCUCUAAUUGGAAUGUUUUGGAACUUCACUUACUAAUGUUUAUUAAUUGUCAUCAUGGUCAUGAUCUGACAUGCAGUGCACAUGUUCCAUAACUCUUAUUUGCUUUUUUAGCUCACCUGAGCCAAAGGCUCAUGGUGAGCUUUUGUGACUGCUCAAUGUCCAUCGUCAGUCGUGCGUCGUCCGUCCAUCAACAUUUUCUAAAAAAAUCUUCUUCUUCAGAAAACCACUAAGCAGAAUUACACCAAACUUCAUAGGAAUGAUCUUUGGGUGGCCCCCUUUCAAAAUAAUUCAAAGAAUUGAAUUCCAUGCAGAACUCUGGUUGCCAUGGCAACCGAAAGGAAAAACUUUAAAAAUCUUCUUCUCAAAAACCAGAAGACCUAGGGCUUAGAUAUUUGGUGUAAAGCAUUGCCUAAUGGACCUCUACCCAAUUUAUUCAAAUCAUGACCCCGGGGUCAAAAUUGACACCCCCAGGGGCCACUUGAUUUUACAUAGGAAAAUCUUAAAAAAUCUUCUUCUCAAAAACCAGAAGCCCUAGAGCUUAGAUAUUUGACAUGUAGCAUUGCCUAGUGGACCUCUACUAAAGUUGUUCAAAUCAUGACCCCAGGGUCAAAAUUGACCCAGCUCCAGUGGUCGCUUGAUUUCACAUAGGAAAAUCUUCAAAAAAUUUCAAAAAAAUAAACCAGAUGGCCUAGAGCUUUAAUAUUUCACAUGUAGCAUCGUCUAGUGGACUUCUACAAAAUUUGUUAAAAUCAUGACCCCCGGGGUCAAAAUUGACCCCGCCCAAGGGGUCACUUGAUUUUACAUAGGAAAAUAUUCAAAAAUUUUCUAAAAAUAAACCAGAAGGCCUAGAGCUUAGAUAUUUCACAUGUAGCAUUGCCUAGUAGACUUCUACAAAAUUCGUUCAAAUCAUGACCCCGGUGUCAAAAUUUACCCUGCCCCAGGGGUCACUUGAUUUUACAUAGGAAUUUUUCCAAAAAUUUCUAAAAAUAAACCAGAAGGCCUAGAUCUUAGAUAUUUGACAUGUAUCAUUGCCUAGUGGACCUCUACAAAGUUUUUUCAAAUCCUGACCCCCGGGGUCAAAAUUGACCCUACGAAUCUCCAAAAAGUUCUAAAAAUAAACCAGAAGGCCUAGAGCUUAGAUAUUUCACAUUGAAGCAUUGCCUAGUGGACCUCUACAAAAUUUGUUCAAAUCUUGACCCCCCCAGGGUCAAAUUGACCCAGCCCAAGGGGUUAGUUGAUUUUACAUUGGGAAAUCUUCAUAAAUUUGCUUAAAAUAAACCAGAAGGCCUAGAUCUUAGAUAUUUGAUAUGUAACAUUGUCUAGUAGAAUUCUACAAACUUUGUUCAAAUCAUGAGCCCCGCCCCCCGGGUAAAAUUGGCCCCGCCCCAGGGGUUACUUGAUUGUACAUCGGAAGAUCUUUCAAAAAAUUUCUAAAAAUCAUCAGUUUGACAUGUAAAUAUGUAGCUCAUAUUAUUCAGGUGAGCGAUCCAGGGUCAUCAUGACCCUCUUGUUAACAAUAUUAUGCCCCCUUUUUCAACUUAGAUUUAAAUGGUUAAUGUAAGCUGGAAUCUCAGUACGCACUGAUGGGAAUGGUUUUGAAACUUCACACACUUGUACAUUGUCAUGAUCUGAUAUGUAGUGCGCAGGUCCAUAACUCUGAUUUACAUUCUUAAAAAUUAUACCCCUAAGUUUUUACUAAUUCAGCAGAGCUAAUUUCUAUUUCUGUGCGCACGUCUGAGUAUGGGAACCCCCUUGGCGGAUGGGCGGGCGGCCUGGUUUAGUCCACAAACUUUGUCUUAAGCAUUUCUUUCAGUGCAUGGAAGGAUUUUUAUGUAAUAGGCAAAAUUGUUCACCAUCAUGAGAGGGAGUGUCCUGUGUAAGGACCAGGUACCUCGGUCUUAGGUCAGUGUCAUACUUAGAGGCCAAAGUUUAAGACACAAGAAUGACUAUCCUGAGCAUGUUUUCUUCAGGCAUGGAGGGAUUUUAAUGUAACAUAGGAUAAUCAUAUGAGCAGUUCUUUAAAGCCCUGUUCCCCGGCUAUUCAAAUUCGUUUGUGUGUAUGCAACCCAUGAUUACAAUAGGUAACAGCUAACGGCCACGUGCCACACUUUAGCACACAAAACCACAGGUAUUUCAUAUAGAAUUUUAUAUAAAAUAGACUCUAUUUUGACAGGCGUCACUGUUCAUAGUCAGGAUUUUCAUGCUUUUUCAGUUACAAUUUAAGUUAAAAGGUAGGACGGGAGCAGGGCUUUAACAAAAAAAAAAUCUUCUAACAGGAUUUUGACUGGAUGAUUUUAUAACUAUGUAACGCUUGGUCGACGUUUGUGUUAAUUUAGUACAGCUAAUUUCAAACAUUCUUUAGAAAUAAAGCGUUACAGCUCUCCCACAAUUCUUGUCAAAUAUGUUCUUGCAUUGGUGCAGCUUAAAAUCUGAAUCAGAUAUAUUUUUCUUUGCUUCAGAAUUGGUCAUCUUUAUUGAACAGCGAUGUCUGUUGAACUGGAGACUGAAAUAUUGUUUAAUCAUGUAGUCCUAGCAUUUUAUUCUAUAUCUUCUUAAAAUAAUAUUUUUGUAUCCCUUAUGUCUUCAACAAUGGAUUGAAAUACACGGUCUUUGGUUUAAACAUGUAUUGACGGGAAAGAUGAUACAAAAUAAUACAUAACAGGAUGUGAUGUAAAUGUCACUGUCUUUGAACGCGGUGUUCAUUAUGGUUAGGUUCAGUUUCCCUUUAUACUUAAAAGAAAAGAUUGCUGGUAAUACUUCAAAAUCAAAGAUGAACUUCUGGUUGCUAGGCUACACAUACCGAAAACCAAAAAUACGUGAUAUGGCAGCUUGUUUCCAGCAGAUGAACAAAAAAAGAAAAUCACCGCUAAAACUUCACGAGCAUAGAUGCACUUCCGGUGCAUGGGCUGUACACACCAUAACAUACUUGACAUGACCGCUUGUUUUUGGCAAUUGAACAGGACUACAUGUAAUUGUAUUAUAUCCAAAUAUUUGUGAGAAAAACUGCAUUGAAUAAUUAAUUUUCAUUACCAGAUACAAACCAUACUGUUUUGCUUAAAUUUAUCGGUAAAGAAAUGUCUGACAUUCACUUGUGUAAACAUAUCACUUUUGAACCCAUUUUUCUACUAAGAAAUGUUAAUAUAAGUAAAGUUUUGUAUGUAAGCUAGUAUUAUCAUGAUUAUGUGAUUAAGGGUUUCAAAUAGACACGGCCCCUGUCAUAAGUCAACGUUAUUUGAAAAAAAAAGGUUUUAUUUGGCUUCAUUUUGUUGUUAAUUUUUAAGUGUUAUUUCAAGAUAUUUAGUUUAAAAUUGCCUAGAAAUGGCUGUUUUAUGGCAUAUACUAUUGCAAAUGAAUUUUUCUGAGUUUGACAUACUAUACUUCUAAGGAGUUAUAGCUUUUGUAUGGAAUAGUUUAAACAUUAAUUGACAAAAAAUAUAUUGUGAGGCAUGUUUUCAUAUUGUUAUCAAAAUCACGAUUUGUUUGCAUGCAUAGUGUGUAGCACUAUACUACAAAACUCAGUAUUUUCACGAGGACGUCUUCUAAUAGUCUCUCUGUAGAAAAUAGUUUCGAGAAGACGGCAUUUGUAAUUAUACUAGGAAUAACUUAUUUUUUUUUGGAAAAUCUUGUAAUGUCUGUAGCGGACUUUUAAUAAUUUUUUUUAAAAAACCAUAAUACAGUGAAUCGUUUUGGUUUCAGAUGAUUGUGAAAAAAGUCUUUGAUUAAACGGUAGGAAGAUAAUCAUUUCCUAAGUUCUGAAUUACAGCAAUCAUCAUGUAUAUAUUAUUUUAAUUUUACAGAUAUAUAAAUAUUUGAUAGAAUAUGGUACAUCUAUGGUCUGUUCGACUGAGGUAAUUUUUUCGAGUUAUGCCGAUUAUUUUUAUGUUAUUUGCUUGUGAACAUAGGACAGGAUAGUUUACUGCUCUUUUAAUGUUAACAUUGUUACAAGGCGUCAGCGUCCUUCUGUCGUAUAAUGACUUUAUGAAUUCAUUAUACUUAUUUAGAUAAGCAUAUUUUAUCAUCUUGUUUUUCGGUCAGCUAUAAGUCAUAGGUCAGUAAAUUGUCACACACAAAGAAUUUCGGAAUGCUACUUUAAAUAACUUCAGCGUUUGUUUACAUCUGGAAAAUGACAGGUUAAGAUAUCUCGUCCAGGUUAAUUACCCUCUGGCCACGUUAUUCGCUGCGUCAUGAUUGUUGUUUUGUUUCUAACUAAUUGUAAUGACAGAUGACUAAAUGAAAUAAUGACAUGUUUUUAUUAUUAUGGUCAAAAUGCGUGCCCUUUUGGAGAAAAACAAUUUAGUCAUCCCUACAAAGUUUUCCUUAAAUACCGCUAAAUUCUAGAUAGAACUUCAGUAUCAAUCUGCCCGUGCUAAUGUUAGUAACGUAUGCCGAUACUCCAUACGAUUUAAGAUAGUUUAGAGCCGGGGCAAUUAGCAAUGAAUUAUUAUUGUUAGAGUUAGACAUUAAUGAAAUAAUAGAGAUUAUGUUAGGGAAUUGUGAAGAAAGACAUUGUUGUAUAUAUUAACUCAGAACAUAGUACUAUAUUAAACAGUAGUUAUCAUAGAGAA